UACGGAGGAUGCAAGCGUUAUCCGGAUUUACUGGGUUUAAAGGGUGCGCAGGCGGAACGAUCAGUCAGUGGUGAAAUCUCCCGGCUUAACCGGGAAACUGCCAUUGAUACUAUCGUUCUUGAGUCCAGUUGAAGUAGGCGGAAUGUAGCAUGUAGCGGUGAAAUGCUUAGAUAUGCUACAGAACACCGAUAGCGAAGGCAGCUUACUAAACUGAAACUGACGCUCAGGCACGAAAGCGUGGGGAUCAAACAGGAUUAGAUACCCGCGUAGUCC
Molecule: ribosomal RNA, 273 nt
Filed under: uncultured bacterium
Lineage: Bacteria
Description: partial 16S ribosomal RNA
Rfam family: Bacterial small subunit ribosomal RNA
Source: RNAcentral